CUGCCUCCGAAGUUCAAUGUGC
Molecule: non-coding RNA, 22 nt
Filed under: Gossypium hirsutum (cotton)
Lineage: Eukaryota; Viridiplantae; Streptophyta; Magnoliopsida; Malvales; Malvaceae
Source: RNAcentral